UCUCUCACAGCCCAAAACCAACGAUCUCUCUCUCGCGCGUUCUCUGUCUCUCUGCUCUCUCUCCGCUCCGACCUACCAAUCUCACUGCUAUCUCGCCACUCCCACCCACCGACCCACCAAUUUCACUGGAUCUCCUUCCGUUUCCCUCAAGGUUCGUCGGUAGUCGGAUUCUCAGUUUUACAGAGCAAAAUUGGUUGGAGAAUUCACCGGGUUUGAGAUGGGCUUUCUUCUGAUUUUAGUGGCUUUCAUGGAAUCAGAGCAAUCAUGCAUCAACGAUCAGAGCAGAGAGCGGCUUCAUCAUUAGCCAAUGGGUGCCUUAAAUUUCAGAAAUACAACUCAAGUACGUGGAUUGUGAGGCUUCCGAUCUGUAAGUAUGAAACUACCUUAUUACGCAUUUGGUUGGUGUGCUUAGAUGUACUUAUGUUGUUAAAUGCAGAGCACUGGCUGGUG
Molecule: long non-coding RNA, 450 nt
Organism: Rhododendron vialii
Lineage: Eukaryota; Viridiplantae; Streptophyta; Magnoliopsida; Ericales; Ericaceae
Exons: 3
Source: RefSeq, a predicted model, not a curated record